AACCUGGUUGAUCCUGCCAGUAGUGAUAUGCUUGUCUCAAAGAUUAAGCCAUGCAUGUCUAAGACUAGGGUUUUCUCUACUCUGAAUCUGCGAACGGCUCAUUAAAUCAGUAAUUAUCUAUUUGACUAGUGACUUUUUUUACUUGGAUACCCUCAGUAAAGCCGAGAUCAAUACAUGCACGACAUUAUUUGGUGGUUUGAGUGAAUUCUCAUUUUCUCAGCCUCCAACGUGUUUAUUGGAUUUCUUAGACCAGCGUCUUGGGUUGAGUUUACUCCGCCCAAGUCCCGUUUGGUGACUCACGAUAACUUGACGAAUCGCACAGAUCAAAGAAUCUUUUCUUUGGGCGAUGUAUCAUUCGAAUUUCUGCCCUAUCAACUUUGAUGGUAGGAUCGAGGCCUACCAUGGUGGUAACGGGUGACGGGAGAUCUGCGUUUGACUCCGGAGAGGGAGCCUGAGAGACGGCUACCACAUCCAAGGAAGGCAGCAGGCGCGCAAAUUGCCCAAUCCUGACGCAGGGAGGUAGUGACAAAAAAUAACAAUACCGAGGACGUACUGUUUUUGGUAAUUGGAAUGAGUACAAUUUAAAUCCCUUAACGAGGAUCUAUUGGAGGGCAAGUCGGGUGCCAGCAGCCGCGGUAAUUCCUGCUCCAAGAGUUUAUAUAUGUGUUGCUGCAGUUGAAAAGCUCGUAGUUGGGAGUUGGAGAGGUUGGGUUGGUGGUUUUGGCGUUUGGGAUUCUGUCCCAGCGCCGGUUAAAUACGUACAUCAGUACGUGGCCACGCCCAUCCACUUUUUUUUGUUCAAGUGGUUAGGUGAGUUUUCUCGCCUCCAUUUUUGAACGUGUUACUUUGAGUAAAUCUGAGUGUUCAAAGCAGACGAGUUUCAUUCGUCUUGAAAGUUGUAGCAUGGAAUAACGUGAUAGGACUCCGGUGGCCCUUUUCAGUUGGUCUAAGCCGUUCCGGAGUAAUGACUAAGAGGGACAGUCGGGGGCACUCGUACUUCCUUGUCAGAGGUGAAAUUCUUGGAUUUAGGAAAGACGAACCACUGCGAAAGCAUUUGCCAAGGAUGUUUUCAUUAAUCAAGAACGAAAGUUGGGGGCUCGAAGAUGAUCAGAGACCGUUGUAGUCCUAUUGACUGUAAACGAUGCCGACUGGGGAUCUGGGGUGUUAGAAAUUUGGCGUAUGGGAGUGGUAGGAGUGUUCCUCUUGCCACCCCAAUCGCCCUCCCAGGCACCCUCCGAGAAAUCAAAGUGUAUGGGUUCCGGGGGGAGUAUGGUCGCAAGGCUUAAACUUGAAGGAAUUGACGGAAGGGCACCACAAGGCGUGGAGCCUGCGGCUCAAUUUGACUCAACACGGGGAAACUUACCAGGUCCAGACAUAGUGAGGAUUGACAGACGAGAUGAGCUGGGGGGUGGGGUUUUCCGCUCCUCCUCCACUCUCUCACUAUUGAGAGCUCUUUCGAGAUUCUAUGGGUGGUGGUGCAUGGCCGUUCGUAGUUGGUGGGUUAUCUUGUCAGGUUUAUUCCGGUAACGAACGAGACCUCAGCCUGCUAAAUAGAGAGAUUUUUGAAAUUAUUUUCAAGAUCCACAUUCUCUUCUUAGAGGGACUCCUGACAACUACUUAAGUCAGCGGAAGCUUGAGGCAAAAACAGGUCUGUGAUGCCCUUAGAUGUUCUGGGCCGCACGCGCGCUACACUGAUGCAUGCAACGAGUUAGGUGUGAGUUGGGGUGAGGGUUCUAUUCCUCACCUCAACUCCCUCCUUGGCCGAGAGGCCCGGGCACUCUUGUGAACCUGCAUCGUGACGGGGCUAGAUCUUUGCAAUUAUGGAUCUUCAACGAGGAAUGCCUAGUAGGCGUUGGUCAUCAGCCAGCGUCGAUUACGUCCCUGCCCUUUGUACACACCGCCCGUCGCUUCUACCGAUUGGACGCUGCGGUGAAGACCUGGGAUUGAGAUGGGGUUGUUUGGGUGGGAUUUUGUUCCACACUGCACGUCGUCCCGAGAACUCGUCUGAACCCCAUCGUCUAGAGGAAGAAGAAGUCGUAACAAGGUUUCCGUAGGUGAACCUGCAGAAGGAUCA
This 2074-nucleotide ribosomal RNA is filed under the name Prototheca wickerhamii. RNAcentral describes it as "SSU rRNA". It matches the Rfam family "Eukaryotic small subunit ribosomal RNA". Lineage: Eukaryota; Viridiplantae; Chlorophyta; Trebouxiophyceae; Chlorellales; Chlorellaceae. The record is from RNAcentral.